GGGUGUGCCCUUCCUCCCUCACCGCUCCGUGUGCAUCCCUCCUGAAGCUGCACGCUUGGUAGAAGAGGAUGGCCUCCCCCAAAUAGAGACUAGUGACGGACCGAACUUGGAUCGAGGGUAUAGGAGUAGCUUCGCUCCCCUGCUAGAACCUCCAAACAAGCUCUCAAGUCCUCACAUAUGCAAGAAAAGUGCUUUAUCCUUAACCUUUAACUUUGAUUUUAUUGCAUUUUUGUAAUAUUUGCUCAU
Molecule: small RNA, 246 nt
Filed under: Sorex araneus (European shrew)
Lineage: Eukaryota; Metazoa; Chordata; Mammalia; Eulipotyphla; Soricidae
Description: 7SK RNA (ENSSARG00000018109.1)
Rfam family: 7SK RNA
About the family: 7SK was discovered as an abundant small nuclear RNA in the mid-70s but a possible function has only recently been suggested. Two independent studies have found that 7SK RNA binds the CDK9/cyclin T complex (known as elongation factor P-TEFb). P-TEFb activates transcription by phosphorylating the C-terminal domain of RNA polymerase II.
Source: RNAcentral